ACCGGCAGCUCAAGUGGUGGCCAUUUUUAUUGGGCCUAAAGCGUUCGUAGCCGGUUUGAUAAGUCUCUGGUGAAAUCCCGCAGCUUAACUGUGGGACUUGUUGGAGAUACUAUUAGACUUGAGGUCGGGAGAGGUUAGGGGUACUCCCAGUGGAGCGGUGGAAGGCGAGAAGCCCGGGAGGAAUACCGGAGGCGAAGGCGGUCUACCAGAACGAAAUUGACGGUCAACUGCGAAGGUGUGGGUGUUCAAUAG
This 252-nucleotide ribosomal RNA is filed under the name uncultured prokaryote. Its description in RNAcentral is "partial 16S rRNA". It matches the Rfam family "Archaeal small subunit ribosomal RNA", at positions 475 to 726 of the family's 1478-position model. The record is from RNAcentral.